UGGAGACAGAAUGGGUCGCUGGAAGAAGGU
RNAcentral lists this non-coding RNA (30 nucleotides) under Homo sapiens (human). The record is from RNAcentral. Lineage: Eukaryota; Metazoa; Chordata; Mammalia; Primates; Hominidae.